AGGAGGUAAGCCACAACGAAUAACAGUGCCAACCACAGGUCACAGCAGCAGUAAUCGGGACCAAUUUCGAGCCAAGUUUAACUCAUAAACCCAGAAAUCAUCACAGUAGCAUGUCAUAAAACUACAACACUCCACAGCUAACCCAAAGGUGCUAGAAAUUAAAGUAGAAACACUUCAAAACUUUUCUAUCCAAAGCAAAGGAGAAACUCCACUUGACAACAAUCAAUUCAUGUAGAAUAACCACCAGAACUGCUUAAAAUCAACCAAGUAAACACCUCUAAAUCUUCAAUUAACAGAGAUUGAGCUAGGAAAUUCUCAUUAGUCACUAAAACUUGCAAUAAGCCUAAGGUAACAGUAAUUCUUUUUUGAUUUUCUAUUGGAUUUUCUAUUGUUUUUGGCUUUUCCAGUAAACACCUCUAAGACUUCAAUUAACAGGGAUUGAGCUAGGAAAUGCUCAUGAGUCACUAAAACUAGCAAUUGGCCUAAGGUAACAAUAAUUCUUUUUUUUUUUUGGUUUCUAUUGGAUUUUCUAUUGUUUUUGGUUUUUUCUAGAAAUUGCUACUAUUUUUUUUGUUUUGAUUUUUGAAGAUUUUGGAGUUUGGAUCUCAAGUUUCAGAUCUGAAACUUUGUAGAGAAAUGGGGGAUUUUUUGUGAGGC
RNAcentral lists this long non-coding RNA (657 nucleotides) under Nicotiana benthamiana. Its description in RNAcentral is "long non-coding RNA (NBEN_LNC004506)". The record is from RNAcentral. Lineage: Eukaryota; Viridiplantae; Streptophyta; Magnoliopsida; Solanales; Solanaceae.